This 253-nucleotide ribosomal RNA is filed under the name uncultured bacterium. RNAcentral's name for it is "partial 16S ribosomal RNA". It matches the Rfam family "Bacterial small subunit ribosomal RNA", at positions 524 to 776 of the family's 1533-position model. The record is from RNAcentral.
UACGUAGGUGGCAAGCGUUGUCCGGAUUUACUGGGCGUAAAGAGCGCGCAGGCGGUCGUUCAAGUCGCGUGUGAAAGCCCCCGGCUCAACUGGGGAGGGUCACGCGAUACUGAUCGACUCGAAGGCAGGAGAGGGUAGUGGAAUUCCCGGUGUAGUGGUGAAAUGCGUAGAGAUCGGGAGGAACACCAGAGGCGAAAGCGGCGACCUGGACAAGUACUGACACUCAACUACGAAAGCGUGGGGAGCAAACAGG